Molecule: non-coding RNA, 294 nt
Organism: Marmota flaviventris (yellow-bellied marmot)
Lineage: Eukaryota; Metazoa; Chordata; Mammalia; Rodentia; Sciuridae
Source: RefSeq, a predicted model, not a curated record
AGGCGCUGCAUUCGGAGCCGUCCAGGAGCCGUUAAACUGGGCGGUCUCGAGGGCGGGGCACUGGGAGAAGAGGGCGGCCGCUGUACCUUGCGCAGCCGAGGAAGAUGGUAUUCGAGUCAGUGGUCGUGGACGUGUUGAACCGGUUCUUGGGGGACUAUGUGGUGAACCUGGACACGUCCCACCUCUCUUUGGGCAUCUGAAAAGGAGAUGUGGCCCUCAAGAAUCUUGAAGUCAAAGAAAAUGCCCUGAGUCAACUGGAUGUGCCCUUUAAAGUUAAAGUUGGUCAUAUUGGUA